CAGACACUAAAAUCAUGGUGCAUGUGUCUGAUGCAGUGAAACACGCACUUAAACGAGUCAUGAUUCGAACAGUCGUUAAUGAUGAUGCUGUCAAUACUGUUUCGCUAUUCCGUGACAUAGGGGUAGACGAACUAUGGAUUGUGUUUGGGAGGGCAAAAGACUUUGGAUUAAUAUCUAUCAAUGGCCUUUCAAAUGCACUAGGCAAUGAGUGAUCUGAGUGAUCUGAAACACUUAUUGUUAUCCAUGUCUUUACCUGUUGUGAUAUGGUUCUCUCUUUGCUUGAAAGGGGGGAAAAGACUAUGUGGGAGACAUUGAUUGCAUUUGAAGAUGUGACUUUAACAAAAAGAAUGAUGAUUAAUCAGACUAAAUCACCGGGGUUUUACUGUAAGAUCGCACAAACUUAGCAGAUGGGUAUAACAUGGUUAACGAAGCAAGAACAUAACUAUUUGCGCAACAGGGACGGCUUUUUCGAGGCUAUUCCCUCAACUUGGUCUAGUCUUUUCCAGCAUGUAAAUAAUGCAAUAUACUUAGGCAGGUGUUUAGGGAGACGAGCUUGGGAUUGGCUCUUAUGCUACCCACUCCAGGCGGGGACAAAGAGGAUAACUUUUGAAAAACUCUUUUUGAGGCCUCAUCAUUUUGUCAAAAGCUUAUACAUUGUGGAUGUAAGAAAGGAUUCCGCGGUCAUUUUUAAUGUGGAAAAUCGGGUAUCCCGUGCACUGCGAUGUGUGCAUGUCAUGGUGACUGUGAAUAAACAUGUAUUCUUGGCCAAAUAGUAAUAAUUUUAAAUAAUUUUUAGUACUAUAGUGAUUUUAUUUUGUUUUAAUCAAUC
Molecule: long non-coding RNA, 829 nt
Filed under: Mytilus galloprovincialis (Mediterranean mussel)
Lineage: Eukaryota; Metazoa; Mollusca; Bivalvia; Mytilida; Mytilidae
Source: RNAcentral